RNAcentral lists this ribosomal RNA (502 nucleotides) under uncultured bacterium. Its description in RNAcentral is "partial 16S ribosomal RNA". It matches the Rfam family "Bacterial small subunit ribosomal RNA", at positions 29 to 523 of the family's 1533-position model. The record is from RNAcentral.
AUUGAACGCUGGCGGCAUGCCUUACACAUGCAAGUCGAACGGCAGCACGGGUGCUUGCACCUGGUGGCGAGUGGCGAACGGGUGAGUAAUACAUCGGAACGUACCCAGUUGUGGGGGAUAGCCCGGCGAAAGCCGGAUUAAUACCGCAUACGACCUGAGGGUGAAAGUGGGGGAUCGCAAGACCUCACGCAGUUGGAGCGGCCGAUGGCGGAUUAGCUAGUUGGUAGGGUAAAGGCCUACCAAGGCGACGAUCCGUAGCGGGUCUGAGAGGACGACCCGCCACACUGGAACUGAGACACGGUCCAGACUCCUACGGGAGGCAGCAGUGGGGAAUUUUGGACAAUGGGGGCAACCCUGAUCCAGCCAUUCCGCGUGAGUGAAGAAGGCCUUCGGGUUGUAAAGCUCUUUCGGCAGGAACGAAACGGUGGGCUCUAACAUAGCCUGCUAAUGACGGUACCUGAAGAAGAAGCACCGGCUAACUACGUGCCAGCCGCCGCGGUAA